RNAcentral lists this ribosomal RNA (497 nucleotides) under uncultured bacterium. RNAcentral's name for it is "partial 16S ribosomal RNA". It matches the Rfam family "Bacterial small subunit ribosomal RNA", at positions 28 to 507 of the family's 1533-position model. The record is from RNAcentral.
GAUGAACGCUGGCGGCGUGCCUAAUACAUGCAAGUCGAGCGAACGGACGAGAAGCUUGCUUCUCUGAUGUUAGCGGCGGACGGGUGAGUAACACGUGGAUAACCUACCUAUAAGACUGGGAUAACUUCGGGAAACCGGAGCUAAUACCGGAUAAUAUUUUGAACCGCAUGGUUCAAAAGUGAAAGACGGUCUUGCUGUCACUUAUAGAUGGAUCCGCGCUGCAUUAGCUAGUUGGUAAGGUAACGGCUUACCAAGGCAACGAUGCAUAGCCGACCUGAGAGAGUGAUCGGCCACACUGGAACUGAGACACGGUCCAGACUCCUACGGGAGGCAGCAGUAGGGAAUCUUCCGCAAUGGGCGAAAGCCUGACGAAGCAACGCCGCGUGAGUGAUGAAGGUCUUCGGAUCGUAAAACUCUGUUAUUAGGGAAGAACAUAUGUGUAAGUAACUGUGCACAUCUUGACGGUACCUAAUCAGAAAGCCACGGCUAACUACGUG